CGUGAUCACUGUAACGCCCUGAGUGUUGCGGAUGUUUCGCAGAAGUUGACCGAACUUGAUUAUUUAGAGGAAGUAAAAGUCGUAACAAGGUUUCCGUAGGUGAACCUGCGGAAGGAUCAUUAAAGUUCUCCUUUCAAGUUAUAAACAAAAACACAAUAUAUAAAAUACUUAUAUUGUAAAAUUAUGGCAAAUGCCAAAAAGAAACAAAAUAACAAUAAUAAAAAUGUUUAUUAUUGUAUCGCCUCCUAGGCAAAAAAGUAUAGUAUAAAGUGUUUGUGUGUGUUACACAUUACACAAAAAUUGACUUAUUUAUAUAAAAUUUGUAAAAACUGAAAUUGUGUGGACGUUAUACAAAAUUAAUUUGUAUAGAAAAUGUCUAAAAAUUUGAAAUACAUAAAAUUAUAGUUGUACUUGUAUAAAAUUGAAAAGUAAUUUUUUAUAUAAGUCAAUCAUUGUUCGUUUUUUAAGAACUUGAGACAUUCGCAACAAAAAUUUUAUGUUUUAGUUAUAAAAGAGAAGAAUAAUAAGCAAAAAUUAUUGAAGGAAUUGAUAUAUGCCAAUUUGAAA
This 567-nucleotide ribosomal RNA is filed under the name Belvosia sp. Woodley04A. RNAcentral's name for it is "partial ribosomal RNA". The stretch from base 1 to 122 matches the Rfam family "Eukaryotic small subunit ribosomal RNA", at positions 1715 to 1831 of the family's 1831-position model. Lineage: Eukaryota; Metazoa; Arthropoda; Insecta; Diptera; Tachinidae. The record is from RNAcentral.